Molecule: unclassified non-coding RNA, 1681 nt
Filed under: Lucilia cuprina (Australian sheep blowfly)
Lineage: Eukaryota; Metazoa; Arthropoda; Insecta; Diptera; Calliphoridae
Description: protein-tyrosine sulfotransferase, transcript variant X1
Source: RNAcentral
AUAAUAAAUUAAAUGUGGUGGCAUGUAGCAACAAAAUACAUUUAGUUAUACAUAAAUACCUACAUACAUCUAAACAUACAUAACUUUGUAUGUAUUUUAUAUGUUUUUAGUAGAAAAUUCAUUAAAUGUAGCAGCUUUUAGUUUAAAGCUAGUAUUCUCUUUCACAUAAAUUUUAGUUUAUUAUUGGAAACAAUUUUUUGAAUGUGUAUGUACGUUUAUAAAUUCUAUUCUAAAUUUUAAUUAAAAUUUCAUAAAAACAAACCUACGCCAACAAAAAAAAAAACUACUCUAAUACAUAACUAAAAAUUAUACAAAAAAAAUCUAACCUAAAACCCCGCAUUGAAUUGAAAAUAAUCAUCAUGCGUCUGCCUUAUCGCAAUAAAAAGACCACCCUUUGGGUCAUGUUUGCUAUUGUUGUUGUCACAAUGUUUUUAUUUAAAUUUACGGAAUUGCGUCCAAUGUGUUUCUUCAGAGACGAAUCAUCACCUGCAGCUUCUGCGGCUGGUCAAGCUAUGAUGGUAAGAGGAGAUGAGAAAUAUGUUGAAGGAGACAAUCAAAAAGUUUAUUCAUAUAAUAGAGAGAUGCCAUUAAUUUUUAUUGGUGGUGUCCCAAGAUCGGGGACCACAUUAAUGAGAGCGAUGUUAGAUGCACAUCCAGAUGUGAGAUGUGGCCAGGAAACUCGUGUGAUACCUAGAAUAUUACAAUUACGUUCGCACUGGCUGAAAUCGGAAAAGGAAUCGCUGCGUCUGGUGGAGGCUGGCAUUACCAAAGAAGUCAUGAACAGUGCUAUUGCUCAAUUUUGUUUAGAAAUCAUAGCUAAACAUGGUGAUCCAGCGCCUAGACUGUGCAACAAAGAUCCCUUAACCUUAAAAAUGGGCACAUAUGUGAUAGAACUGUUUCCUAAUGCUAAAUUUUUAUUUAUGGUCCGAGAUGGUCGUGCCACGGUACAUUCAAUUAUAUCACGCAAAGUAACCAUUACUGGCUUUGAUUUGACCAGCUAUCGCCAGUGUAUGCAAAAAUGGAAUCAUGCCAUCGAAGUCAUGCACGACCAAUGUAAAGAAAUUGGUAAAGAACGUUGUAUGAUGGUCUAUUAUGAACAAUUGGUGUUACAUCCGGAGGAAUGGAUGCGUAAAAUAUUGGAUUUCCUUGAUGUACCCUGGAAUGAUUCUGUUUUACAUCAUGAAGAAUUUAUCAAUAAACCUGGUGGUGUUCCUCUCUCCAAAGUUGAACGUUCAUCGGACCAGGUAAUUAAACCAGUUAACUUAGAGGCUCUCUCAAAAUGGGUGGGAAAUAUACCCGAAGAUGUCGUAAGGGAUAUGGCCGAUAUAGCACCAAUGUUAUCUGUACUGGGUUAUGAUCCCUUUGCAAAUCCACCGGAUUAUGGUAAGCCAGAUGCCUGGGUAGAAGAUAAUACAUCUAAGCUUUUAAGAAAAUCCAAAAUGCAAAAUCUUUUAUUAAAGUUUAAUAAUUGAAUAAUGCCAUCAUCAGUAUUUAAUUUGGCAACUAUAAAGGAAAUUUUUUAAAGAUAAAAAAUAGUUUUGGUCUAUGUAGGAUAUUUGAAAAUAUUGUCAUAAAAUAUUCAACAUUAUGCUGAUUUUACUACAACAACCCCGAAAACAUUGUCAACAGCAGCAGCAGCAAUAACAAAGAAAAUUUUAUAAUAAUAGACACAAGAGCCAGU